RNAcentral lists this ribosomal RNA (253 nucleotides) under uncultured bacterium. Its description in RNAcentral is "partial 16S ribosomal RNA". It matches the Rfam family "Bacterial small subunit ribosomal RNA", at positions 524 to 776 of the family's 1533-position model. The record is from RNAcentral.
UACGGAGGGGGCUAGCGUUGUUCGGAAUUACUGGGCGUAAAGCGUGCGCAGGCGGUUUGCUAAGAGAGAUGUGAAAUCCCCGGGCUUAACCUGGGAACUGCGUUUCUAACUGGCAGGCUUGAGUGUGGCAGAGGGGGGUGGAAUUCCACGUGUAGCAGUGAAAUGCGUAGAGAUGUGGAGGAACACCGAUGGCGAAGGCAGCCCCCUGGGCUAACACUGACGCUCAUGCACGAAAGCGUGGGGAGCAAACAGG